UGGGUGGAAUGGGAGGUGAUAUGGGGGAUGACCUUGAUGAGAGUGACGACGAAGAGCCAGAAGUGAUAAAGCCUUCCGAUAAAGCUGCUGAGGUGGUAGAUGCGAAACCUAAGGCAGAAGGUGAAGCUGCUGCAUAGGCAAGAAGGAGAAGCUCGGGUCCAUAAGUAGACGCCGCUGCUUGGCUUGCUUUCAGCAAUGCACUAGAGUGGCAUGGUUAUAAUUCGUCCCUUUCAGUUCAUGAAAGUAAAGAAGUUUAUGGCCGAUGGGAGUUUGUUAUGAGGGAACAUUAUUAUCAUUUUCAUCCACCUAAGCUGGAAAACAUGCUUUAGAUUGUUUGACUUUUGUACUAUCGUUUUAGUUCGACUGAUAAUGGUGUUUGCUCGCAUCAAAUCUCUGUAUCUUCCUUAACCUGCAGUAUCUCUUUUCGAUAGUUCUGCUUACACUAUCUGGUUGUUUUGAAACUAGUUCAACAUUCUAGAGUAGUAAAAAAAUGUUUGAUGAAUA
This 504-nucleotide unclassified non-coding RNA is filed under the name Hevea brasiliensis (rubber tree). The record is from RNAcentral. Lineage: Eukaryota; Viridiplantae; Streptophyta; Magnoliopsida; Malpighiales; Euphorbiaceae.